Molecule: ribosomal RNA, 463 nt
Filed under: uncultured bacterium
Lineage: Bacteria
Description: bacterial SSU rRNA
Rfam family: Bacterial small subunit ribosomal RNA
Source: RNAcentral
AGUCGAACGAGAAGCACCUUCUGGGUGUGGAUAGUGGCGCACGGGUGAGUAACGCGUGGGAACCUACCUUGUAGUACGGAAUAGCCUCGGAAAACUGGGAGUAAUACCGUAUACGCCCUUCGGGGGAAAGAUUUAUCGCUAUAAGAUGGGCCCGCGUUGGAUUAGCUUGUUGGUGAGGUAAUGGCUCACCAAGGCUCCGAUCUAUAGCUGGUCUGAGAGGAUGAUCAGCCACACUGGAACUGAGACACGGUCCAGACUCCUACGGGAGGCAGCAGUGAGGAAUAUUGGACAAUGGGGGCAACCCUGAUCCAGCCAUGCCGCGUGAGUGAAGAAGGCCUUCGGGUUGUAAAACUCUUUCAGAUGGGAAGAUGAUGACGGUACCAUCAGAAGAAGCCCCGGCUAACUUCGUGCCAGCAGCCGCGGUAAUACGAAGGGGGCUAGCGUUGUUCGGAAUCACUGGCCG